Paramormyrops kingsleyae is the source of this 2363-nucleotide non-coding RNA. Lineage: Eukaryota; Metazoa; Chordata; Actinopteri; Osteoglossiformes; Mormyridae. The record is from RefSeq and is a predicted model, not a curated record.
UUUUUAUACUUUAGAAUAAAGCAAAUAUUUGUAGGAAAGUAAUAUUUUUAUAAUCUAGCUAAGACAUGUUAUCUUAGAGAUGUUUAUGUUAUCUGAAAAGCGGUUGAAGUAGCUGCAUGAUCACUGAAAGCAUUUACUGCACUCGUACAAUUAAGAUUAUGUUUAGUGUCCACAAAUCUAUAAAUUAUUUUCUCAAAAAAAAGAUUUACCAACCAAAAGCAGAAUGAUUGACAGUGCUUGAUUGAAGGUCACACUGCUUACAAUAUCAGAUACAGCAAUAACGAAUUUACUCUUCACGAGAAAACACUUGUCUUAGAUGCAUGUUGAGAUAAUUAAGGUUGAGAUAUGGCUGUGGGCAGACAGCAUAAAAAAAGUUUUGGGGAUCGUAAUCAGAAAAGGUUCAGAUUUAGCGAGAACAGGUAGUUUACCGACAGAAAACUUUUUUUAAGUGUGUUGCUAUAUUUCAGUUCAAUUCAGAUUAAUUUAUAUAGCAUUUUUAACAAUAGACAGUAUCACAGAGCAGCUUAACAGAGAUGUCAGUAGACUCUCAAUAGUUUACUAAUUUAAUAGUAACUAGUAAUUAAUAUUCCCUAAUGUAUCCCUAAAGAGCAAGCAAGGGGUGUGAUGGGGGCAAGGAAAAACUCCAUUAGAGGGCAUUUAGGAAGAAAAAUAGUAACCAGAUUGUUGUGACAGUGAUACAACUGAAUGAUAUAGAAAAAAAAAGUCACAUUGUGUUAUCAGGAAUUGUUGUAAUUAAUUGAAUAAAUUUUCAGGAUGAAGUUCUCCACUGCAGGACCAUGAUCAGUUCAUAGCAGUAGGGUUGAGUGCAAAACUGUGAAAUUAAAAGUUUGUGCAAACUGUUCAUCACAACUGAAUUUCCAUGUACUGUCAGGCUUUUCUCAUGUAAUCGGAUUUUAAUCAGUCAAAACUAUUAUAAAUAUUUCAUAACUCAUGAAAUAUGACUUGUGAAAACUUUCACAAAUAAGUAUGAGUUGUUGAAAGGUAGAUGAAGGUGUGAAAGCUUUGUUUUGGUCAGUCAGAGGUCAUCUUGGUCAUUUUUAGGGCCUUUAAAUGCACCUAGAUUGAGACCUUGAGCCACCAUAAAUACUACUGUACUUUAAUCAGUCAUAACUCAUAAAAUAUGACUUGUGAAAACUUCCACAAAUCAGGGUGAGUCCUUAUAGGGUAGAUGAAGGUUUGAAAUUUUUGGUUUGGUCAGUCUGAGGUCAUUUUGGUCAUUUUUAGGGCCUUUAAUCAGUCAUAACUCUUAAAAUAUGACUUGUGAAAGCUGGCACUGUUUUGACGUGAGAAGCUAAUGAAAAUAAAUGGCCAAAAUGCAUUAAAGGCUGUUUUUACGUAAUGUAUUUGUACUUUCUGAAUUCACACACCAGGACUAUCACAAGAAGCCAUAAUUCGUAUUCUUUCGUGCAUAUAUUAGGUUUUUAUGGCCGUUUACAACAUGAAAAACAAACCGCAAACUAACUUUACCGACAUAGACGCGGUUGAGAUCUUUUGUUUAUUUAGAUUAGAUAACUGUACAUUUUUUGUAAUAUCAAUUCCAUGAUAUAUUCUAUAUUUGUUUCACAUUUGUCCCAGUGCACAGAAGGCAGUGGAUGAAUGUAUAUAGUUAUGUUUAAUUCAAAUUUAUUGAAAAGUAGUCAUCUGAGCAAAAACUUAUGCGAUAAGUUGAUGACAUUUGUUUGUUGUAACACCAGUGACUCUAUUAUGCCUGAUUUCCCAUCUCUACUUUUAUUUUUACAGAUGAUGAAUCUGACUAUUAUUCGACUCAAGAAGAGGCAAGAAACAGGUUGCGGAGUCAAGGCAAAGAAUAUGGCCGCCGCUGUUGCAAAUGCAUAAUAGUGUCCUUGGCAGUGCUGUGCGUUACCCUAUUCAUUGCCGUAAUAUACCAGGGUGUCAACUGCAAGAAUUUAACCAAAGAGCAACAAUGCAGCAGUUUGCAGAAGGAUAAGGACUAUGAUGCUCUGUUAAGUAAAUUACCCCUCAUUCAGAAGUACUGUCACACCACUGAAAAAGGCAAGAAUUUAACAGAAGAGCUUUCGACGAUGAAAGUUAAAAUAGUGCAGCUGUUCGUCAGUAAGAAGAAUUAUUUUCAGAAACAAUGCAGCAGUUUGAAAAAAGAUAAGGAUGAAAUACAAAAAAACUAUGAUGCCCUGUUAAAUAAGUUACCCCUCCUUCAGAAGUACUGUCACACCACUGAAAAAGGGCGAGUCUGUGAUCCCUGUCCUCAGGGCUGGGAGAAGCACAAUGGCCAGUGUUACUAUUUCUCUACAAGUGUAAAGACCUGGAAUGAAAGUCAGAAUAACUGCAGUAAGGAGGCGGCUCAUUUGGUGACUGUAAACAGU